AGUGAACGCUGGCGGUAGGCCUAACACAUGCAAGUCGAACGGCAGCACAGUAAGAGCUUGCUCUUACGGGUGGCGAGUGGCGGACGGGUGAGGAAUACAUCGGAAUCUACUUUUUCGUGGGGGAUAACGUAGGGACACUUACGCUAAUACCGCAUACGACCUACGGGUUAAAGCAGGGGAUCUUCGGACCUUGCGCGAUUGAAUGAGCCGAUGUCGGAUUAGCUAGUUGGCGGGGUAAAGGCCCACCAAGGCGACGAUCCGUAGCUGGUCUGAGAGGAUGAUCAGCCACACUGGAACUGAGACACGGUCCAGACUCCUACGGGAGGCAGCAGUGGGGAAUCUUGGACAAUGGGCGCAAGCCUGAUCCAGCAAUGCCGCGUGGGUGAAGAAGGCCUUCGGGUUGUAAAGCCCUUUUGUUGGGAAAGAAAAGCAGCAGGUUAAUACCCCGAUGUUUUGACGGUACCCAAAGAAUAAGCACCGGCUAACUUCGUG
Molecule: ribosomal RNA, 492 nt
Filed under: uncultured bacterium
Lineage: Bacteria
Description: partial 16S ribosomal RNA
Rfam family: Bacterial small subunit ribosomal RNA
Source: RNAcentral